RNAcentral lists this ribosomal RNA (311 nucleotides) under uncultured bacterium. RNAcentral describes it as "bacterial SSU rRNA". It matches the Rfam family "Bacterial small subunit ribosomal RNA", at positions 494 to 803 of the family's 1533-position model. The record is from RNAcentral.
UGGCUAACUCCUACGGGAGGCAGCAGCCGCGGUAAUACGUAGGGUGCAAACGUUAAUCGGAAUUACUGGGCGUAAAGCGUGCGCAGGCGGUUGUGUAAGUCAGAUGUGAAAUCCCCGGGCUCAACCUGGGAAUUGCAUUUGAGACUGCACGGCUAGAGUGUGUCAGAGGGGGGUAGAAUUCCACGUGUAGCAGUGAAAUGCGUAGAUAUGUGGAGGAAUACCGAUGGCGAAGGCAGCCCCUGGGAUAACACUGACGCUCAUGCACGAAAGCGUGGGGAGCAAACAGGAUUAGAAACCCGGUAGCCAGCUGG